UAGAUCAGGCAUUGAACAAGGAGCAGAAGC
Molecule: non-coding RNA, 30 nt
Filed under: Mus musculus (house mouse)
Lineage: Eukaryota; Metazoa; Chordata; Mammalia; Rodentia; Muridae
Source: RNAcentral